Molecule: long non-coding RNA, 693 nt
Organism: Ruditapes philippinarum (Manila clam)
Lineage: Eukaryota; Metazoa; Mollusca; Bivalvia; Venerida; Veneridae
Exons: 3
Source: RefSeq, a predicted model, not a curated record
UCCUUACGGUAGGUAAAAAAAUUACAAAAAAUAAUCCUUAUUCGCUGUUGUAAUCAUUUAAACUUUUUUUCAAAUGUUAUUUGGAUUACAAAUGAAGUGUUCUUAUAUAAAUACAGACCAAGAUCGCGGCGCUGCAACCUAAUAAAACAUAAAGGUGGCGCUGUAUAUACGCAAGUUACAUGUGAUAUUGUUAUGGAAUAUAUUUAUAGCUACAGAUCUGUUUACAAGUUCCAAUCAUUUAACGUUGUAAUAUUAUCAUUUGUGGUACAUUAUAUGUAUCAAAAUGACGUGUUCUUAAUAGUGCUUUAACAUUUAAUCAUAGUGACAGAAAAGGGAAAGAAAACAUAAUUAACCUUUAAUUCGAAUUUAAAGUCACGUGGAUGGAAAUUCAAAUUCGUAGGCGUUACGUUUUGGCUGUCGGUCAGGAAUCGGGAUGCAUUGAUAAGUGAAUAUUAUAGGUUUUCUUGAACAAAAAGGUAGUUUAAGUGUUGGACAUGCUCUCAAAGGUCGGAGGGACGGAAACACAUGAAUAUGUAAAAAGAAACAUAUGAAAUGAAAAUGAUGUCACACACGCUAUUGGGCGCUACAUAUCCUCCGGACAGACGAGGGGUGCUGAAAGAAGGUCAUAUCUUAAAGCAUCACACCUCAAAAUUCGUGCUAAUUCUCAUGGAUAUCUAAAAGUAUAACUUUGUG